Molecule: long non-coding RNA, 3138 nt
Organism: Cephus cinctus (wheat stem sawfly)
Lineage: Eukaryota; Metazoa; Arthropoda; Insecta; Hymenoptera; Cephidae
Exons: 3
Source: RefSeq, a predicted model, not a curated record
CUUCUCUCUGAGUCCACGUGUACGUAUCCCUGCUCCUCCGUCGUGAGACACGUGCGGAGAAUCACGCUGGAAAAUUCGCUGAACGUCAGAGAAACUCUGGCACCAUUACAGUGAGCUUGUCUGACAAUCAGAGAAUAUACGAUCCAGCGACCGAUGAUGCUGAGACAAUGCUGGACCAGAUGUAGCCAGUGUCAAUAGUUCUAGCAUACAGCGUUGGACCAUCCGAGACCUUGAUGCUGCGGAACUGAUCCGAUCGCCGGACGCACUAAUUUAGUCACGUGACAGUCAUGGACACGUGGACUAUUUGCUCCUUUGGAUUUAAAAUUCCUCUAAACGUUGUAUCGAAUAUUCUCAUGCGUGAUGAGUGACGUUCCACUUCUAAUCUUAGCCAGUAUCUACGCCUGUGCACGGGCAGCCUUUUUUAAUAAUGGCUACCUACAGCGGUCGUUAGUAAGUACCCGGAGGAGCACAGCAUCUUCACUGAUCUCGAGGGAUUCUGACGCGAAGAGAAGGAUGCGUCUAUCUAUAGAUGGGUAGAAGUAGAGGCAGUAAACGCUAUGGGCAGCAAGCAGCAGCAGCAGCAGCAGCAGCAGCAGGAGCGCAGCCUUGGCCAUUCGAGCAAGCACGAAGCUCUCGCACUCGACGAAUAAUAUUUACUCCGACCUCUACUUUAAGUAAACGCAAGAGCAGCGUCGCGUCAUCCACCCGACGAGUACAAUGUUCCAGAUCUAGAAGGCUCAAUGGAGAAGCCAAAUCCUGAACGUGAACUCAAAAAUAAUCAAGCUCCAAAGCUAAAUUCCUAUUCGAAAUCCCCGACCUCUAAUGUGCAUUGGAACAAGAGGGCUUCUGUUCCCUCUGGCAGAGCUGCUCCUCGGCUGUGCAUUCCUGGGGAUGUUUCGAUUCCCAGAGGGAAUCGGCGAGGAUGACAGCAGGGUAUUGGAUGUUGUCCAGGACUUGGCGCAGGUAGGAUCAACUAAUCUCGGUGCGCUGGGACAUGACGAAUCGGCGUAAUUGAAAGAUGCAAAGGCGAACGGUCGAAGCUGCCAGAAUCGUAAGUUACAGCGGCUUAAUGAUUUCGCCUCUUGAGUCAUUUGGCCCUGAGUAGCGCGAGUAGCGCUAGUCGCACGCGUCACCGAGACUGCAUUCCCUCUUCGAAGUGACUAUCUUGUCGAUCGACUCCUACUCAGGAAUACCCCCUUGCUCGGCUAUUAAUACCAGUACCACUACAUGGAAAUCUUCUACCUGCCAUUAACGACCUCUAUCGAACAUUGUAGAAGGAAAACGUCGCCCUGACGAUUAGUCGAGACGCAACGAAGGAAUCGCAUAGGAACUGCAGCUGCUUUUCGAAUUCCGCCUUUCGAAAGGAUUUUUUUGCUCUUCGUGAAACACUUUUUUCUUUUGACAAAAUUUUCAUCGAUCGAAAUAAAAAUGUUUACAUCCCGGAUAUACUCUUGCGGAAUUUCUCGUUUGAGAACGAAGCCGCAAUUAAUGGAGGUCCAUAGACGAGCAAUGCGAGAUUGAGAAUACACGAAAAUAGAUUGAUUACGCAACCUCCUGAUAAAUAAAGAUACCGACACGGGCGGAUGCGAUAGGAAUGUUUGUUGUUAUGUCGCUUAAGAUGUUCGCUUAAUGAGUUCUCAUUAUCACAGCCGGUCCUAAAUGAUUAUUAAGCCAUAAGUCUUAUAUCUAUAGGAUUUGGCCUAAAGGUGAAUCCACGAGUCAGAUCCUGAUGGUCAAUCGGACAACCGAUCCAACGGAAAUUUCAACGGCUUGCAGCUCUAGUGCACCGUUGCACCAGCCUGAAAAACAAAAGUGCAUCAUCAGCAGCUUCUAUCGAACUUAUCGAACUGCCGGUGCUAUUAGGAACUGCGCAGAUAUAAUCUGCCGUUUAAAUCGGGCGCAUAAUUGCUGAUUAUUUUUAACUCGAACGAGACAGGAAUGGAUUCUAACGGGUGGCCAGAAUUUACGGACUAGCACUAACGGCUAAGAGCCAUAGCCCAGCCAGCUAUAUUAAUUUCACGGUGAUGAUCUCGUCCUUGUAUCAAUUAGAAAAAAGGUUUUGUAAAUGAAAGAAAAAUGGUCUGUGGCUGCGCUCAACAAUUGAUGUUCAUCAUUUUUAAAGAAAUAUGAAAUUAUUGGUCUCGUGGCCUGAGAACUAGGUGAAACGGCUGACAUUGGAUUUACAGAGAAGUCGGGAUGUUAUGAAGUCUAGGGACAGCUGCUGGACGAGUGGGUCUAAGGUUUUACUACGAAUUUAAUAGCGAAAGCUAUGAACGACACCUAAUCAGAAAUACCGAUAAAGCCCAUAGAUCUUUCAGAUUGAUUCGCGUCCAAUUAAUUUCACUUGUUACAUUCUAUCGAAAAAACUGUUUAUCACGUGCUACUAACUAUAAGUAGCACACGGAUCGUUUUAAAAAUUACCUCGACUUCCAAGUGGACGAAGGUCAGUCGGCUCUAAAGAAACUCAAAGCUGCCCUGAGAAAAUCCCGAGAUCGAUAAGUCUGAGCUAAGACACGGGAAAACGAAGAAACGAUUUACUUUACAGCCAAGAAUUUUCGAUGAGUUCAUCCACCUGGCAGUGAAUAUGAUUAAAAGCACGUGCUGCUUGGCUUUUCUAUUCGAUCGAAAUUUUUAUACAUUCACAUCCAUAUCAAUAUCUCUGGACUGUACUGAUUUAAGUGAGUAUAAUAUUUUGUCAAUCGAUAUAAUUAAUUUUAUCCCUGAUCCGGCAACUUACCAUUAAUACCCGCAAGAAAUUAUAAUAUAACAAAGAAUCAGACAGAUUUCGAACUACGGAUACUUGAAUGGGUGGAAAUUUUAAAUAUUCAUAUGGAAUCUACAAGGAGCGAAUUGGAUGAGAUACAUAUAGCAGAGUGUGAUGGCGGUAGAGGCUCAUGUUAGCGAGUGUACUGGGCAAGGGAGGGCCGGAGAGUCGAGACAGGAGUAAGAGAAGAAGAGACCGAAUCUAAGAUUAUUUCGGGAUCGGCCGAAGAUAAACCGGGCCAACAUCGACCGAGCGAACGGAACGGAACGGAACGAAGCCUUGAGGCUUGAGUCAUCCUCUUCGACUUGGAUUUGGCCCUCUUCCCUUCUUAUUUAUCCAUACGACUAUCCAUACAUCCAUCCUUCCAUAUGUUC